UACAGGGAAUAACUAUUUAAAACUUAAAAAUUAAAAUUAUUUUAAUUUGUGAAGAAACAAUUAUUAAAAUUAAGGACAAGAAGACCCUAAGAAUUUUAAAAUAAUUAAUUUCUUAUAAGAAAUUAAUUAUUUUUAGUUGGGGCAACUAGAAAAUAUUAUAAACUUUUUAUAUAAUAAAAUGGUCCAUUAUUAAUGAUUAUUUGAGAAAAAUACUCUAGGGAUAACAGCGUAAUAAUUUUUGAUAGAACCUAUAGACAAAAUAGUUUGCGACCUCGAUGUUGGAUUAGGAUACUUUUUUAAUGAAGAUGUUAAAAAAAGAAGUUUGUUCAACUUUUAAAGUCCUACUUGAUCU
Molecule: ribosomal RNA, 352 nt
Filed under: Dermacentor variabilis (American dog tick)
Lineage: Eukaryota; Metazoa; Arthropoda; Arachnida; Ixodida; Ixodidae
Description: partial 16S ribosomal RNA
Rfam family: Bacterial large subunit ribosomal RNA (bases 220-352)
Source: RNAcentral